UACGUAGGGGGCAAGCGUUGUCCGGAAUCAUUGGGCGUAAAGAGCGUGUAGGCGGCCUGAUAAGUCGGCUGUGAAAGUCAAGGGCUCAACCCUUGAAUGCCGGCCGAUACUGUCAGGCUAGAGUCCGGAAGAGGCGAGUGGAAUUCCUGGUGUAGCGGUGAAAUGCGCAGAUAUCAGGAAGAACACCUAUGGCGAAGGCAGCUCUCUGGGACGGUACUGACGCUGAGACGCGAAAGCGUGGGGAGCGAACAGG
RNAcentral lists this ribosomal RNA (253 nucleotides) under uncultured bacterium. RNAcentral describes it as "partial 16S ribosomal RNA". It matches the Rfam family "Bacterial small subunit ribosomal RNA", at positions 524 to 776 of the family's 1533-position model. The record is from RNAcentral.